RNAcentral lists this ribosomal RNA (279 nucleotides) under uncultured bacterium. RNAcentral describes it as "partial 16S ribosomal RNA". It matches the Rfam family "Bacterial small subunit ribosomal RNA", at positions 506 to 784 of the family's 1533-position model. The record is from RNAcentral.
UGCCAGCCGCCGCGGUAAUACGGAGGGUGCAAGCGUUAAUCGGAAUUACUGGGCGUAAAGCGCGCGUAGGCGGUUUUGUAAGUCGGAUGUGAAAUCCCCGGGCUUAACCUGGGAACUGCACUCGAUACUGCAUAACUAGAGUAUGGUAGAGGGAAGUGGAAUUUCCGGUGUAGCGGUGAAAUGCGUAGAUAUCCGGAGGAACACCAGUGGCGAAGGCGACUUGUUGGGACAAUACUGACGCUGAGGUGCGAAAGCGUGGGGAGCAAACAGGAUUAGAUA